AGAGUUUGAUCAUGGCUCAGGAUAAACGCUGGCGGCGUGCCUAACACAUGCAAGUCGAACGCUCUUUUGCUCGCAAGAGCCAGAGGGAGUGGCGGACGGGUGAGUAACACAUGGGUGACCUACCCCACAGUGAGGAAUACCGGCGAGAAAUCGCCGACAAGACCGCAUAGGCUCGGUCCGGUGAAGCGGACAGAGCAAAGUCUCGCAAGAGACGCUGAGGGAUGGGCCUGUGGCCGAUUAGCUAGUUGGUAAGGUAAGGGCUUACCAAGGCGACGAUCGGUAGCUGGUCUGAGAGGACGAACAGCCACACUGGGAUUGAGAACGGCCCAGACUCCUACGGGGGGCAGCAGUGAGGAAUUUUCCGCAAUGGACGCAAGUCUGACGGAGCAACGCCGCGUGCAGGAGGACGCUUUUCGGAGUGUAAACUGCUUUUCUGUGGGACGAGCGAGGACGGUACCACAGGAAGAAGCCCCGGCUAACUACGUGCCAGCAGCCGCGGUAAUACGUAGGGGGCGAGCGUUGUCCGGAGUUACUGGGCGUAAAGGGCAUGCAGGCGGUCGGACGCGUUUCCAGUGACAGUGGGUGGCUUACCUACCCGAGGAUUGGAAAGACGGUUUGACUUGAGGACUCGAGAGGGACACGGAAUUCCGGGUGGAGUGGUGAAAUGCGUAGAGAUCCGGAGGAACAUCAAAGGCGAAGGCAGUGUCCUGGCGAGUGACUGACGCUGAGGUGCGAAAGCUAGGGGAGCGAACGGGAUUAGAUACCCCGGUAGUCCUAGCCGUAAACGAUGACCACCAGGUGUGGGAGGUAUCGACCCCUUCUGUGCCAAAGUUAACACAUUAAGUGGUCCGCCUGGGGAGUACGGUCGCAAGAUUAAAACUCAAAGGAAUUGACGGGGACCCGCACAAGCAGCGGAGCGUGUGGUUUAAUUCGAUGCGACGC
This 942-nucleotide ribosomal RNA is filed under the name uncultured bacterium. Its description in RNAcentral is "bacterial SSU rRNA". It matches the Rfam family "Bacterial small subunit ribosomal RNA", at positions 8 to 962 of the family's 1533-position model. The record is from RNAcentral.